AAAGAAUAGAAGAAACUGAGAAAUCUUCAAUCAGCCAGAAGAUGACUCCUUCAGAGAAUAAGUUCCCAUUCAAACUUCCUCUGUAAUGAAUAAUUGGACUCUUCAGGGCCCUGUGGCUUUCUUUGGGGGAAAAGUAUUUGGUUUCAACAAUUCCCUGGUGUUAAGCUGAAGCUCCAAUGCCUCCUGACAUGUCUCCUGUAUGAGUGACUCAUGCUCAGCUCUCCUAGCCCCUUGAAGAAGAGGAUUCUUCCCAGCUGUGCAGGUGCUUAUUGGGCCCUCUUCAUGAAACUGGCC
Phascolarctos cinereus (koala) is the source of this 294-nucleotide non-coding RNA. The record is from RefSeq and is a predicted model, not a curated record. NCBI's taxonomy places the organism in Eukaryota, Metazoa, Chordata, Mammalia, Diprotodontia, Phascolarctidae.